Molecule: ribosomal RNA, 252 nt
Filed under: uncultured bacterium
Lineage: Bacteria
Description: partial 16S ribosomal RNA
Rfam family: Bacterial small subunit ribosomal RNA
Source: RNAcentral
UACGUAGGGGGCGAGCGUUAUCCGGAUUUAUUGGGCGUAAAGCGUGCGUAGGCGGUUUAUUAAGUCUAAGGUCAAAUACUGAAGCUCAACUUCAGUGAGCCUUAGAAACUGGUAGACUUGAGUGUAGUAGAGGUAAGUGGAAUUUCUAGUGUAGCGGUAAAAUGCGUAGAUAUUAGAAGGAACACCAGUGGCGAAGGCGGCUUACUGGGCUAUUACUGACGCUGAGGCACGAAAGCGUGGGGAGCAAAUAGG